Molecule: long non-coding RNA, 1475 nt
Organism: Astyanax mexicanus (Mexican tetra)
Lineage: Eukaryota; Metazoa; Chordata; Actinopteri; Characiformes; Acestrorhamphidae
Exons: 5
Source: RefSeq, a predicted model, not a curated record
UAGAGAGUCGAUUCUUAGAGCCGAAUCUUUCAAAACCGACUCAUUACUGUCUCGGUGGUUUAGCUGCUGAGUUUGUUGAAGGAGAGAGGCGACUGAGGAGCGAAAUACCGAUGCCAAAAUGAACCGGAUUCGGAUCCACGUGGUGCCGUCCAGCCGAGGCAGGGUCACCCAGAGAAGCUGCUCUCGAUCCAGUCUCGAUCCGACCCAGCUAUCAAAUAUACUACUUUUAUUUGAACUAAACUGCUGAUAACGCACAGUUUAAUCUGAUAUAUUAACCACAGCUAUGAACAAAGGCUGUCUUUGCUGCUCCAUGCUGUUUACACACAUGGUCUGUGCUGUGUUCACUGCACAUCUGUGUUAAAGCAGUUUAGGUUUAUACAUAUGUGAAACCAAACCAAACAAAGGGAGAAAAUGCUACAAGUAAAGGAACAUCAACUCAUCCGGACUAUAGAAACCAACUACAGGUGUGAAAACGCCUUAUGUGUUCAACAAGAACGGCAAGCGUUGUCCCAGUGCAGCACCGAAACCCCAGAAAAGAAGGACGGGCCCACUCAGUACGACAGAGCCAGAGAUGCAUUUCCUGUGUGGAAGGGACGCGAUGCUCAAACCAGUGGCUGCCAAUGACACGACAUUGUGUUUCUCAUAUUUACCAAGACAGCAGCCAGGAGUUUUUCAAGAUGGGCUGAAGGAGAUCCCCUGUGACCGGUGCCGCCGAGCUGCAGCCCACCGAGAGCCUACCACUGGAGUUCAGAGAUACUGUGUCGGAGAUAGCCGAGGCAGCAGGAGAGGAGGACGCCACACACAGUUCUUCAGUGGACGUCAACACAAUAACCACAGAAGCUACGUCAUCAUGAGCACCUUCAGGCCUGAUUUUCUCAGCUGUCAGUAGACUUCACAGAGCUCGCCAUGCUGAAGUGUUUCAGAAUCCAAGCUGUGACCAAAAAACAUAUUCACAACACCAACAUCUGUAGAGCAGAGACUGUACCUGAUGAUCGAAAACUUGCUUGAGGGUGUCAAUGAUGGCCUUCUGGACAGCAGUCAGGUCGGCAGUCUUACCCACGAUCGCGGUUUUGAGUAAUGAAUUGAUUUGAGUAAUGAGUUUUUAAAAGCCUUAGGAAUCUUUUGCAGGUGUUUAUUCGUUAAUUCGUUGAUUCAGAUGAUUAGGUUAAUAGCUCGUUUAGAGAACCUUUUCAUGAUAUGCUAAUUUUGUGAGAUAGGAAUUUUGAGUUUUCAUGAGCUGUAGGCCAAAAUCAUCCGUAUUAAAACAAUAAAAGAUCUGAAAUAUUUCAGUUGGUGUGCACUGAAGUUUAAUUUUUAUAAUUUCAUUAUGGAAAAUAAUUAAUUUUAUCACAAUAUGCUAUUUUUUUGAGAAGGACCUGUAUUAAUAAAACAAAUGCUAACUGCUAGAGGACACAUGCUAAUAUGGUGAUACUACAACAGUCUUUGGAAAUAAAAUGUGUUGCUGUUGUCCUGAA